RNAcentral lists this long non-coding RNA (207 nucleotides) under Lathyrus oleraceus (garden pea). RNAcentral's name for it is "Pisum sativum (pea) long non-coding RNA (PSAT_LNC006025)". The record is from RNAcentral. Lineage: Eukaryota; Viridiplantae; Streptophyta; Magnoliopsida; Fabales; Fabaceae.
AAGAAGAAGAAAAGAAAAAAAGUUUAAUUGCAAAAAAGGAGAUGUGAAAAAAACAAUUGUGUCACACCAGCCCAUAUACUUUCUCUUUUGCAAGGAGGUGCCUUUACCUUAUAGGAAUUUAAAGAAUUGUUUCUGAAAGAGGUGCCAAGUGGAUUGUCACCUAUAAAUGGAAUUGAGAAUUAUAUUGAUCUCAAUUUAUGAGCAUUU